This 348-nucleotide non-coding RNA is filed under the name Asparagopsis taxiformis. Lineage: Eukaryota; Rhodophyta; Florideophyceae; Bonnemaisoniales; Bonnemaisoniaceae. The record is from RNAcentral.
GGGACUGUUUGGUUUCUACAUACUAUGAUGUAUGUAUAAGUUCGAGAGGAUGAAGGUAAACUAUACUUCAUUAAUCCUAGUUUUUAAUAAAUGCAAAACAUCAAAUAGUUUGUUUUUCUAAAAAUUUAGUGAUAGCUUAAAUAUAUAAGUCAUAUUUUUAGUAUGUCAUUCUAUGAUUCUUGUACAUAUUGUGAUAUUUGAAAUUCAGGUUGCUCUUAAAUAUAUUCAUAUUUAAGUUAAGUUGUUCGAUUUUUUUGAUAUAUUCCUCUUAUCUCUAUUUAAUUUUGAAUUGAGUAAACUUUACAUACAGAAUUGUUAUGGACGUGGGUUCGAAUCCCACCAGUUCCA